UUAUUAUAAAAGGAGCAAGUUUACUCUGGAAAUUUGGGGCAACUAGAAGAAUUAAAAAUCAUCAGUUAACAAUAUCAGAGAGAGCCUCUAAGGACAGAUCAGGUGGAAACUAAUGGUUCUCACAGCCUGUGAAUAUGACUGGUAGAGCUUAAGCUCACUCAUGGCAGCAGGGACUUGGUAGUGUUCACCACUAUACCCAGCAUUGUGAUGGGGCUCAAUAUCCCCCUUGAAGAGAGGAAAGACAUUUGAAUUCCUCAAGCAAAGUAUUCAGGGUAUUGAGAACUAAUAUAGAUUAAAUGGAUAUUGGGAUUUUUUUUUUUAUAUAAUUGAAGUAUAGUUGAUUUGCAAUAUUGUAUUAGUUUCGGGAUUUUUUUUUUAAGGUGGGAAACCAUUUUCUAGAAAUCUUAAAUGUGUAAAAAAUUACAAGUUGUAUUAUUAUUAACUUUCUUCUUUGUUAAGACUAAACAAUCCAAUUUUUCAAUUUGCUUGUUCUCCUUGGAAUUCAUCUCCAGGGAUGCCACAAAAAAGCUUGAAGUUAUGAUACGCUGUAUCCCAGGAACAGUUUGACAGUUUCCUUACUGCUUAUAACCUGCAGUUCCCUACAGAGGCCUCCUCUCCACUGUAGUCUCUGCCAAGUGGUUGUCACAGCAUUAAUUAAACUGGAAGAAUAAAGGCAUUGCAUGUCAUUUUCUAUAUUGAAUGCCUUCAUGUUAUGGACGAAUCUCCAUGGAGAAAUCUGGUACAUAAACUAAAAACAAAUGCCUGCAUGUGGUAUCUGAGACUAUUACAGAAGAAAGAAAACAGGAAAGAAUAUAAGCCAUCUCUGUUGCUUAAAGUGGGGUAGCAGCUGAGUCAAAGCUGGGAUUAUCAGGGGGUGCCUUGGACCUCUGUGGAAACACUUAUCAGUGAGACAAAGACAAGUUUUCAACCGAAGAGUUGUACCUUUUUCAAGAAGUAGAAAAGGCCUUACAGGUCAGCAUCUACAGCCCCUGAAUAUGGAAACAACUGCUCAGUCAUCCACUUACCCUCUCACUGGCAAGUUUUGCAUAUAUGGACUGUCAGAGCAAGAAUCCCAUUGACCUUGUUCAUCUCUCUAUGCCACUGACAUAAGCUUUAGUCUUUGAAUCCAUUGCCUGCCUUCCAAUUCAGUGUCUCCUCCAUGAUGGCUCAUGGCAAAACAAAGCCAAAGCAGCUUAUGGCUUGCAUUGAAGCCCAUGGUCUCUGAAGGAUUCAUGCAGCUGGCUCAGAUGUGCUUGACCUGCCACAGACUUCUCCAAAUUGAAGAGCAAGGUUGUGGAGACAGCGACUGACCAGCUGGCUCCUCACUUUUUUGCCUUAAGAAUUCUCCAUCUUUCUCAUCAUUAAGUACAUGUGCACAAGCAUGAAUACAUGUGUAAACAUGUAUGUAUGUGUCCAAGUGUGUUUGGGUGCCUUUCCAAGAGGACUUUCAAGCAAUUUUCUCCUAACUUCUCCUCCUCAAACUGAUGUGUGCCCUUCCAUCCAACAGAAAAACUUCCUCUGCCUCUUUGUAACCAAGUCCAUUUCCCUAGUUUAAGAGAGAAAAACCUCAACUAGCUCUUUUGUCAAACACAGGGUGUGUAAGAAAGGGGCAUGCUCAUAUCAGAUAUUGCCCAGCACCUAUUUUAGUAGUUAUUCCCUCAGCAUAUCGUCUCCAUGGGUCAGUCAUGGUUAGAGACAGCCCCUGGGCAUCCCAAAUGUAGCUGCUGAACUCGCAGCAUGUCCUCAUUAGCAUAGAUCCAGACUCUGCACAGAUGUAGAGAAAAAACAAGGAAAAAGAAAUCUGUCAUUCAAUUCUUUCAGAGAUUCUGUAAAGGAAAAGGUGGACUGACCAAAUUGCAUAAUUCUCCAACCAACAAGCUCACCAGAAAGUGUGGACUUUCUUUAAAUGAAAGAGCUGAAGAAGAGAGUUUUCUAAAAUGGGGCACAUGUGUUUUUUCCUUUCCUGAGGGAAAACCUGUUCAACUUUGGGUUUCACCGCUCAUAAAUUAUCAAGUUAUUUCUCAC
Molecule: long non-coding RNA, 2025 nt
Organism: Bos taurus (domestic cattle)
Lineage: Eukaryota; Metazoa; Chordata; Mammalia; Artiodactyla; Bovidae
Source: Ensembl